CUAGAGUCAAUCUUGCAUCUGGGGCUCACAGACGAGUAUCUGAUUACUCAAACUAAAAGCCUCGGGAAGGUCUGAGAUAAAGCGUGCUCUGCAUUUAGUGCAGAGAACAUCCCAGCAGGAUGCUUCAAUGAUUGAAGGUGGAAGAACCAGAAAUUUCUGCGAGUGUUAUUCACCCGCAUUGGAAACUUCUAUUGCUCGCCGUUUUAGUGUAAUCUGCAAGCUGGCGGUGCUGACACCAUCGCCAGAACUCAAUUCAGACUAAUCUGUCUCUAG
RNAcentral lists this RNase P RNA (273 nucleotides) under Belgica antarctica. RNAcentral describes it as "nuclear RNase P". It matches the Rfam family "Nuclear RNase P". Rfam says of the family: Ribonuclease P (RNase P) is a ubiquitous endoribonuclease, found in archaea, bacteria and eukarya as well as chloroplasts and mitochondria. Its best characterised activity is the generation of mature 5'-ends of tRNAs by cleaving the 5'-leader elements of precursor-tRNAs. The record is from RNAcentral. Lineage: Eukaryota; Metazoa; Arthropoda; Insecta; Diptera; Chironomidae.